This is a long non-coding RNA of Saccostrea echinata, 262 nucleotides long. RefSeq lists it as uncharacterized. The record is from RefSeq and is a predicted model, not a curated record. Lineage: Eukaryota; Metazoa; Mollusca; Bivalvia; Ostreida; Ostreidae. The transcript is spliced from 3 exons.
AUGUGUUUUUUUUUCUUGAAGCAAAGCUCUGUCCUCCAUCUACACGUACGAAAUCCAACCUAGUUCCAAGACUUCUUGAUUCAAUUAUAUUUGAAGAUGGAAAUGAAGAAAAGGUUUGCAUCAAGGAACGACUUUGGGGCUAAAAGGACCUCUGUAAAAAGUUUUAUGCAGCCAGAAGAUUGUGUUGAUGCUGUGAACGACUAUUGAUUUGAAAGUGGUGAGUGAACACACAGAUGGAAUCUAGGGCUACACUACAUUCUGU